Molecule: transfer RNA, 75 nt
Filed under: Candidatus Parcubacteria bacterium
Lineage: Bacteria; Candidatus Parcubacteria
Description: tRNA-Met
Rfam family: tRNA
About the family: Transfer RNA (tRNA) molecules are approximately 80 nucleotides in length. Their secondary structure includes four short double-helical elements and three loops (D, anti-codon, and T loops).
Source: RNAcentral
GGCGGUGUAGCUCAGCGGUAGAGCAGUGGCAUCAUAAGCCAUGGGUCGGGGGUUCGAAUCCCUCCACCGCUACCA